GUCUGUGGCCAUACCACCCUGAAUGCGCCCAAUCUCGUCCGAUCUCGUCUGAUCUCGGAAGCUAAGCAGGGUCGGGCCUGGUUAUUACUUGGAUGGGACACAAUAGCCAAAAGGUGGAAACAACCC
This 126-nucleotide ribosomal RNA is filed under the name Neogale vison (American mink). Lineage: Eukaryota; Metazoa; Chordata; Mammalia; Carnivora; Mustelidae. The record is from RNAcentral.